Molecule: ribosomal RNA, 3519 nt
Filed under: Spermatozopsis exsultans
Lineage: Eukaryota; Viridiplantae; Chlorophyta; Chlorophyceae; Chlamydomonadales; Dunaliellaceae
Description: partial 23S ribosomal RNA
Rfam family: Bacterial large subunit ribosomal RNA (bases 1-2627)
Source: RNAcentral
GGUCAAAAGAACCAAGGCGAAUGGCGGAGACCUAGGCACUUAGAGACGAUGAAGGGCGCAGAUACCGGCGAAACGCUUCGGGGAGCUGGCAACAAGCUUUGAUCCGAAGAUACCCGAAUAGGACAACCUUUAAAACUUCUUCAUGAAUUCAUAGUGAAGAAAGAGACAACCCAGUGAAUUGAAACAUCUUAGUAGCUGGAGGAAAAGAAAGCAAACGCGAUUCCCGUAGUAGCGGCGAGCGAAACGGGAACAGCCUAAACCCAUUCUUUGAAUGGGGGUAGUGGGAAGACAAAUAAAAGAAGAUUCUAAAAAAAGUAUUAGACGAAGCAGCUGAAUCCUGCACCAUAGAGGGUGAAAGUCCCGUAGUUAAAAGCUUAGAACUCUGUCAAAUCCCGAGUAGCAUGGGGCACGUGAAAUCCCGUGUGAAUCUGCGAGGACCACCUCGUAAGGCUAAACACUCCUAAGUGACCGAUAGCGAAAUAGUACCGCGAGGGAAAGGUGAAAAGAACCCCGUUGGGGAGUGAAAUAGAACAUGAAACCGUUCGCUGACAAGCAGUGGGAGGAUUUUUGAAUCUGACCGCGUGCCUGUUGAAGAAUGAGCCGGCGACUUGUAGGGAGUGGCUGGGUUAAGGAAAUCAAUCCGGAGCCCAAGCGAAAGCGAGUCUGAAUAGGGCGAAAAUGUCACUUCUUACGGACCCGAACCCGGGUGAUCUAAUUAUGACCAGGAUGAAGCUUGGGUAACACCAAAUGGAGGUCCGAACCCACCGAUGUUGAAAAAUCGGGGGAUGAGUUGUAAUUAGCGGAGAAAUUCCAAUCGAACUCGGAGCUAGCUGGAUCUCUCCGAAAUGCGUUGAGGCGCAGCGGUAACGAUGAGCUGUCUUAAGGGUAAAGCACUGUUUCGAUACGGGCUGCGAAAGCGGUACCAAGUCGUGGCAAACUUAGAAUAUUAGACAUUGCCUUCCGUUAACCAGUGAGACAGUGGGGGAUAAGCUUCAUUGUCAAGAGGGAAACAGCCCAGAUCACCAGCUAAGGCCCCUAAAUGGCCGCUAAGUGGAAAAGGAUGUGAGAAUGCAGAAACAACCAGGAGGUUUGCUUAGAAGCAGCCACCCUUGAAAGAGUGCGUAAUAGCUCACUGGUAAAGCGUUCUUGCGCCGACAAUGGCCGGGACUAAGCGGCCUGCCGAAGCUGUGAGAUUUUUUAUUAAAAAUCGGUAGGAGAGCGUUCCGCUGAGGGUGAAGCUUUUUUGAAAAGAAAGGUGGACGAAGCGGAAGUGAGAAUGUCGGCUUGAGUAACGAAAACAUUGGUGAGAAUCCAAUGCCCCGAAAACCUAAGGGUUCCUCCACAAGGUUCGUCCGUGGGGGGUGAGUCAGGACCUAAGACUAGGCCAAACGGCGUCGUCGAUGGAAAACAGGUUAAUAUUCCUGUACGAUUAUUUAUUGGAACCGAGGGACGAAGCAGGCUAAAUUAGGACUAUUUGUGGAUUGUAGUGGAAGCUUUCAAGGCGUUGAUAGGUCGAACAAAAACGAUUCUAGAGCUGAGAGGUGACCCCAUCUUCUGUCUUCGGAAAGAAGAUGCUAAUGAUGUCAUACUUCCAAGAAAAGCUCGAACACCUCUCUUUAUGAGAUAAAAAAUAAAUAAUCCCUGUACCUGAAACCGACACAGGUAGGUAGGUAGAGAAUACUAAGGGGCGCGAGAGAACUCUCUCUAAGGAACUCGGCAAACUGGCCCCGUAACUUCGGAAGAAGGGGCGCCCUCUAACCAUGAGGGUCGCAGUGACCAGGCCCAUGCAACUGUUUAUCAAAAACACAGGUCUCCGCAAAGUCGUAAGACGAUAUAUGGGGGCUGACGCCUGCCCAGUGCCGGAAGGUGAAAGAAGUUGGUUAUUCUUUUGGAAAAAGCUGACAACUGAAGCCCCGGUGAACGGCGGCCGUAACUAUAACGGUCCUAAGGUAGCGAAAUUCAUUGCCAGGUAAGUUCUGGCCUGCACGAAAGGCGUAAUGAUAUGGGCGCUGUCUCGGAGAGAGACUCGGUGAAAUAGACUUGUCUGUGAAGAUGCGGACUACUUGUACCUGGACAGAAAGACCCUAUGAAGCUUCACUCCAUACUGUAAUUGGGUUCGGGCUUUUCUUGCGCAGUCUAGGUGGGAGGCGUUGAAGAUUUUCUUCUGGGAAAAUUGGAGCCAUCAGUGAGAGACCACUCUGGAAGAGCUAGAAUCCUAAUGGUAUUCCUUGAAUCAGGAUACUUGACAGUUUCAGUAGGGGAGUUUGUUUGGGGCGAACGCCUCAUAAAAGGUAACUGAGGCGUGCAAAGGUUCUCUCAGUCUGGACGGAAAUCAGAUGUUGAGUGUAAAUGCAAAAGAGAGCUUGACUGCAAGACCUACAAGUCGAGCAGGUGCGAAAGCAGGCGUUAGUGAUCCGACGAUGCAGUGUGGAAUGGUCGUCGCUCAACGGAUAAAAGUUACUCUAGGGAUAACAGGCUAAUCUUUUCAGAGAGUUCAUAUCGACGAAAAGGUUUGGCACCUUAACAUCUGGGGUCUCUCUGUAGUAAUAUAGAGAUGUCAAUCUAGCUAUAUGCUGGAACAUCCGUCUAUUGUGCUUAGCAUAAAUAGUGUAGUAUGUUUUGGUACUAAUUUUAAAUUAGUGAAAAUUCAAAACUGCGGAUAAUCAGCAAGGAAGUCCUCUGUCUAUUAGAUAUGACCCUUCAACGACUACACGCUGGACAACCAAAUAAAAAUUGGUUGAUGAUAUAGUCUGAUCUACUAGGCGACUAGUAGAGCGAAUCUCAAUAAUUAUUAAGAUUUGCAAAUAACUUUUAAUGAAACAUUACAAAACUAUGAAACUUAACCAACAACAACAAGAUUUAUUAAUUGGGACUUUAUUAGGUGACGGAAAUUUACAGUCAGAAACGAAAGGACGCACGUGGCGCUAUAGAGCUUUGCAUAAAGCUGAACAUAAAGAAUAUUUGUUUCACAAGUACGAUGUUUUAAAAACUUUGUGCUCGAGUCCUCCAAUUUACGAUGAAAUUUUCGAUCAACGAAGUCAAAAGACUUAUAAAAGAUGGUAUUUUAAUACUGAAGUUAAUGACAGUCUUAGACUUUAUGGAAAUUUAUUCUAUACUUUAGAUCCAAAAACUUUUCAUCUAGUUAAAGACGUACCUGAAAAAAUUGAAUUGUUCUUAACUCCAAAAGCAGUUGCUUACUGGUAUAUGGAUGACGGAGCUUUAAAAUGGUUAGGUAAAUCUAAUGCUAUGCGAAUUUGUNNUGAAUCUUUUAGUGAGGAAGGUGUAAACCGAUNNCAAAAAGCUUUAAAAAAGCUUUAUGGCAUCGAAACAAAUAAGGUCCGUAAAACAAAUAAAACCGUUUUNNUCGGAUAUCGAANUGGAAUUAAUGAACAAAAUUCAGCCAANNUUCGUGAACUUAUUAAACCGCACUUNNUUGAUUGNNUGAAAUAUANNGUAUCUGAUGNNNAUAAUGGUCAUCUGUAAUAUUAGGGUUUCAAAAGUUAUNNUAACAUAAAUGCG